GAUGAACGCUGGCGGCGUGCUUAACACAUGCAAGUCGAACGGAAAGGCACCUGCUUGCAGGGGUACUCGAGUGGCGAACGGGGGAGUAACACGUGGGCGAUCUGCCCUGCACUUCGGGAUAAGCCUGGGAAACUGGGUCUAAUACCGGAUAGGACCACAUCUUGGAGGGUGAGGAGGAGAGUUUUUCGGUGUGGGCUGAGCUCGCGGCCUAUCAGCGUGUUGGUGGGGGAAUUGCCUAACAAGGAGUCGACGGGGAGCCGGCCGGAGGGGGUGGACGGCCACUUUGGGACUGAGAUGCGGCCCAGACUCCUGCGGGUGGCAGCAGUGGGGAAUAUUGCACAAUGCGCGCCAGCCUGAUGCAGCGACGCCGCGUGGGUGAUGACGGCUUUCGGGUUGUAAACUCCUUUCGCUAGGGACGAAGCGUUUUUGUGACGGUACCUGGAGAAGAAGCACCGGCUAACUACGUG
RNAcentral lists this ribosomal RNA (467 nucleotides) under uncultured bacterium. Its description in RNAcentral is "partial 16S ribosomal RNA". It matches the Rfam family "Bacterial small subunit ribosomal RNA", at positions 28 to 507 of the family's 1533-position model. The record is from RNAcentral.